AUACGUAGGGGGCGAGCGUUGUCCGGAAUGAUUGGGCGUAAAGGGCGCGUAGGCGGCCCGGUAAGUCUGGAGUGAAAGUCCUGUUUUCAAGGUGGGAAUUGCUUUGGAUACUGAUGGGCUUGAGUGCAGGAGAGGUUAUCGGAAUUCCCGGUGUAGCGGUGAAAUGCGUAGAGAUCGGGAGGAACACCAGUGGCGAAGGCGGGUAACUGGACUGCAACUGACGCUGAGGCGCGAAAGUGUGGGGAGCAAACAGGAUUAGAUACCCUGGUAGUCCACACUGUAAACGAUGAAUGCUAGGUGUAAGAGGUAUCGACCCCUUUUGUGCCGGAGUUAACACAAUAAGCAUUCCGCCUGGGGAGUACGGCCGCAAGGUUGAAACUCAAAUGAAUUGACGGGG
RNAcentral lists this ribosomal RNA (397 nucleotides) under uncultured bacterium. RNAcentral describes it as "partial 16S ribosomal RNA". It matches the Rfam family "Bacterial small subunit ribosomal RNA", at positions 523 to 918 of the family's 1533-position model. The record is from RNAcentral.